This is an RNA transcript of Triticum aestivum (bread wheat), 4494 nucleotides long. RefSeq lists it as uncharacterized. NCBI's taxonomy places the organism in Eukaryota, Viridiplantae, Streptophyta, Magnoliopsida, Poales, Poaceae. The record is from RefSeq and is a predicted model, not a curated record. The transcript is spliced from 7 exons.
UGUCAUCUCCUCCCCCUCCCCUAUUUGAUUUGUUCCGGUCGUCAUGCUGAUGCUACUAGAUUUUAUUUUCAUGUCAAGUCUCGUAGCCUAGGCGCAUCCCGUUCGAAAGGGUGGCAUCUAUAAAUAUGCAUGUCUUUGCAUAUUUAUAACCGUCGUCCUUUCGAAUUGUCCACGUUAUCCAUGGACAGCCCGAGUACGCGUAGAUUGGGUUUCGUUUUCCAUGCUCUACUUCGGCCCUCGGCAAAAUUUCAUCUGCGCCACCUUGUUGUUCUCCGGGUGCACAUUCUCUCGGCUUGUUGUCGAGACGUGUAUUUGGAGAACAGCGGGGAGGUGCUGCCAAAAUUUUGCCUCGGACCGGAGUAGAGCACGGGAAACGAACCCAAUCUACACGUACUCGAGUGGGAUUAGGAACCAUCUUUACCUAUUAGCGAUAGGAUUCAAUCCAUGAAUGCAUGUUUCCCUUUUGUAUGGUAAAAAAUUAAAGCCAUGGCGUAAAUAAUAUAACAAUGGUAAUUAGUUGUGUAUCUAGUCUUAAUUACAAUAUACAUAUCUUGAUGAAUAUGAAUUUGGUGCCCCUACUGUCAUAUGCAAGUACCAAUAUGGAUGAUCGUGAGUGGAUGUACACUGGCCACCCUAGUCAGGCUGGCAUGACCACUGAAUGGGUGACGAAGACCAAUGAAUUUGUAGAGGCAACAUUUGCUAGAGGCCAAAGAAAAAGUUGGUGCCCCUGCUUGAAGUGUGACAACGACAGAGAACAGGCGAAGAAGACGAUGUGUAGGCACCUGCAGAAGCAUGGGUUUAAGCGUGGGUAUACCCGGUGGACCCUUCAUGGCGAGCCUGAACGUAGCAGAGAGGAGGUGGUGCGUCGGCGAACCGACAACAAUGGUACCGAGAUCGUUGACAUUGUAGCUGACUUCAACGAUGCACGUGAAGAGGGAUCAGAGGAAGAACCAGAGGAGUCUGCGAGGGCCUUCUUAGAAAUGUUGAAUUCCUCAGAACAACCUCUUCACGACCACACAAACCAAUGUUAGCUGGAUGCCAUUGCACAAGCAAUGGCUAUAAAGACCCAGUUCAACAUGAGCAAAGAUUUCUUUAAUUCGAUGGUGACAUCUUGGGGUCGCUCUCUCCCCGAAGGUCAGAAACUGGCUAAAAGCUGGUAUUAUGCGAAGAAAAUCCUUCGUGCACUUAAGAUGCCCUAUGAGCAGAUACAUGCUUGUCCAAAUGGAUGUGUCUUAUUUACGAAAGAGUAUGCCGAUGACAAUUAUUGCGCCAAGUGCAAAGCCUCUAGGUAUGUCGAGAGAGACCUCAGUGAUGGUACGAAGAAACAGAGCAAAGUCCCCGCAAAUGUUCUUUGAUAUUUUCCAAUCUUGCCAAGAAUUCAACGUCUUUAUUGAACGAAGAUACAGCCAAACAGAUGACAUGGCACAAAUAUGGGAUAAGACGCAACAAAGAUGAUCAUGGGAGACCGAUGUUGAUACAUCUGUCUUGUGCCCAAGCAUGGAAGAGUUUCGAUCGAAUACAUCAUGAGAAAGUAAAAGAGGCAAAGAAUGCACGAGUUGCCAUCGGAAUCGAUGGGUUCAAUCCGUUUGGUAUGGUGUCAAAGACAUACAGUUGUUGGCCCGUGUUUGUUGUUGCCCUCAACCUCCCCCCCUGGCGCCCUAAUGCAACGCAAGCACAUGUUCCUGUCGUUGAUAAUUCCAGGGCCCAAGUAUCCGGGGAAGAAUAUAAGUGUGUACAUGCAACCACUGAUAGAUGAGUUGAAAGAAGCUUGGGUGAAUGGGAUACGGACAUACGACGCUGCUAUCAAAAAGAACUUCACAAUGCAUGUUUGGUACCAGUACUCACUUCAUGACUUACCGGCACAUUCACUUUUCAUGGGGUGGUAUGUGCAUGGGAGGUUCCCAUGCCCAAGGUGCAAGGCAAGCAUGCAGUGCCGUUGGUUGCAGCAUGGUCGCAAGUAUUCUUGCUUCGAUUUUCAUAGACAACAUUUGCGUCGUGACCAUCCAUUCAGACAAGACAAGAAGAACUUCAUGAAAGGUGAAGUAGUUGAACACUCGGCACCACCUGAGAUGACGGGUGAACAAAUUCGUGAUCAAAUAAAUGCUCUCCAGCCUGAUCCCAAACGUCCAGGGUAUUUCUUGGGAUAUAACGAAGAACACGCGUGGACUCACAAGCCAUGCUUAUGGGAUCUCCCCUACUUCCACCAACUCGAGUUUCCACAUAAUAUUGAUGUAAUGCACACUGAAAAGAAUAUCGCCGAGGCCAUUUUUGGCACGUUGUUCAACAUUGCUGAGAAGACGAAGUAUAAUACUAAGUCUAGACUUGAUGUAAUGAAGCUAUGUGAUAGACCCGAACAAAACUUGCAACAACCCGAGGGAAAGAAAAACUGGAGGACGCCAAAGGCGAGGUUUGUUCUUACUAGGGAACAAAAGGAGAUACUCAUGUGGUUCAAAACUUUGUUGUCCCCUGAUGGGUUUGCAACGAACCUUAUGAGGGCAGUGAAACUUGAUAAAUUGAAGUUCAACGGGAUGAAGAGUCAUGAUUGGCACAUAUGGCUUGAGUGGUUAAUGUCGGUGAUGAUUCGAGGCUAUAUCCUUGAGGAUGAUUGGGAAGUAUUGGCAGAGCUUACCUAUUUCUUCCGUGUUCUUUGUGCUAAAGAAGUAUCUCCUACUGUGAUAGAUGAGAUGGAAGAACGGGCCCCCGAGUUGCUCUGCAAGCUAGAGAAGAUCUUUCCACCAGGAUUCUUUAACCCGAUGGAACAUAUGAUUUUACACCUCCCUUCCAAGGCAAGAAUGGGUGGCCCUAUGCAGAAUUGUUGGUGCUAUGGACUUGAGAGAAUGCAUAAGACUCUUCGAGCUAAAUGUAGAAAUAAAUGUAGAAUUGAAGCCUCCAUAGCCGAGGCAUUCUUGGCGGAGGAUAUUACAAACUUCACGACAUCAUGCUAUGCGGGCAAUAUUCCAAGCUUGCAUAAUGCAAAGUCUCGAUACAAUACUGGCGACCCUAAACAUGAAUCCAAGGGGGAGUGUUGGGAGCGGAUCGUGGACUAUUGGUGUUCCAAAGAGUAUAGGGCGAAAAACAAAGAUUAUAGAAAUCGACGAGCCGCAAUGCUGGAUCCACCACAUCAUCAAGGCAACUUGAACAUUAUGGAGUUCGGUGAACGUUGGGCAUCUCACCAUAAUGCUCCAUUGGCCAACCUUUUCGUCUCGUAUGCUUUGGCCCAUAAGGCACCAUACAAAACAGCCACGCCUUACGAUGAGAAUGACACAACGUCCGCGUACUCCAGCAAGACCGCCUAAGAUCGGAUGGAGAAAUUUAAAGGGACGACAAAAGAGUUGAAAGGGCCCGAGUAUGAUGUGACAACAGAGCCUCUUGACCACGCGUUGGUCAUGAUCUCUGGAGAAGGCAAGAAACAUGGCAAGGAAGCAAUUGCAGGAGGCAUGUUCCCUAGCUCCUCCCGUAGCUCUCUCCCUGAAUACAAAGCUCGGUUAGGUAUCUCAAAAUCUUCUACAUAUAAACGCUCGACUCCAGCUAUGGUUGAGAUGGAGCCCGACUGGCGGAGGAGAGGCGAGUGGCGGCGGAGGAGAGGGCAGAGGAGAGGUGACUGGCUGAUGAGAGGACGCAGCAGGUGGUGCAGCAGGCGGUGUUGGCACAAACUAGUCAAUGCUUUGCAAUGUUUGGGGCUUAUUGUACCCAGAAUGGUAUGCCCGCUAUGCAGAUGCCUCAAUCAGGCCAUGGAUCUAAUACUGAUGGAUCUUCACAUGCACGAGGCCCAAGCGACAACAACCUUGGUGGUUCUCCGAAUGUUUGAGAUCGAGUAUGGUUGCCACCUGGAUGCUCUUUGGACUACGACAUGGACAUGAAGAAUGGUAACAAAUUGCUGCAUCAUCAUGGCUAAGGUGUCCAUACCCCUAAUGUUGUACUGAAGAAGAUUGGGCAGCUUGUGUUGGAAGCGAUCGGGGUAUCGUGCUGAGGAAGACUGGGUGGCUUGUGCUCGAAGCUUUCAGCGAAUAGCUUGCUGAGGAAGGCUGGGCAGCGUACCUUAUAAGAUUCCCCCCUUAAAGGCUUGCUGGGGAAGACUCGGUACCUUAUGCCAGAAGCUUUUGCAAUACCUUAUUGAAGAAGACUGAAUAUCUUGCACAGGAAAAUCAUUCAUACCUUACUGAUGCAGACUGGGGAGCGUGUCGUGUACGCUUCACUGAUAAAUUAUGGAGAAGGACUGAGCUGUUUUUCUUUGUGAACUAAAUAAUAUAUAUAUUCUUGUCAUUCCGGCUGCUGAUUACUUGUAUGAAAAGAAAUGUCUGACUAUUCUUGCUGAAUUCAUUGCAUAUUUGGACUGACUUCUGGGUGUCGCAUGCUUCAAAACUGACUUGUGGCAGAACCAAUUAUCGGGUACAGACCAUACCUUUGACCUGGUAUGCAUGUUGGACUUGGAUCCAGUUUUGUUCUCCUACUAGUUUAAUCAUUGCCGCAAUAAAGGUGUAUCUUUGUCGGGUA